This 254-nucleotide ribosomal RNA is filed under the name uncultured bacterium. RNAcentral's name for it is "partial 16S ribosomal RNA". It matches the Rfam family "Bacterial small subunit ribosomal RNA", at positions 524 to 776 of the family's 1533-position model. The record is from RNAcentral.
UACAGAGGUCUCCAGCGUUGUUCGGAUUUACUGGGCGUAAAGGGCGCGUAGGCGGUCAGCACAAGUCAGUUGUGAAAUCUCCGGGCUUAACUCGGAAAGGUCAACUGAUACUGUGCGACUAGAGUGCAGAAGGGGCAACUGGAAUUCUCGGUGUAGCGGUGAAAUGCGUAGAUAUCGAGAGGAACACCUGCGGCGAAGGCGGGUUGCUGGGCUGACACUGACGCUGAUGCGCGAAAGCCAGGGGAGCGAACGGG